RNAcentral lists this ribosomal RNA (218 nucleotides) under unidentified marine eubacterium. Its description in RNAcentral is "partial 16S ribosomal RNA". It matches the Rfam family "Bacterial small subunit ribosomal RNA", at positions 527 to 745 of the family's 1533-position model. The record is from RNAcentral.
GGAGGGGGCUAGCGUUGUUCGGAUUUACUGGGCGUAAAGCGCACGUAGGCGGAUCGAUCAGUCAGGGGUGAAAGGCCUGGGCUCAACCCGGGAACUGCCUUUGAUACUGUCGACUCUGAAUCCGGGAGAGGUAAGCGGAGUUCCAAGUGUAGAGGUGAAAUUCGUAGAUAUUUGACAGAACACCAGUGCGAAGGCGGCUUACUGGACCGGUAUUGACG